UACGUAGGGCGCAAGCGUUGUCCGGAAUUAUUGGGCGUAAAGAGCUCGUAGGCGGUUUGUCGCGUCGGCUGUGAAAACCUGGGGCUCAACCCCGGGCCUGCAGCCGAUACGGGCAAACUAGAAUUCGGUAGGGGAGACUGGAAUUCCUGGUGUAGCGGUGAAAUGCGCAGAUAUCAGGAGGAACACCGAUGGCGAAGGCAGGUCUCUGGGCAUUAACUGACGCUGAGGAGCGAAAGCAUGGGGAGCGAACAGG
Molecule: ribosomal RNA, 253 nt
Filed under: uncultured bacterium
Lineage: Bacteria
Description: partial 16S ribosomal RNA
Rfam family: Bacterial small subunit ribosomal RNA
Source: RNAcentral